GUAGUUGUGCAUCUUCUGAUCACGCUCCAGUGAGGGAAUUAAGGAAGGCACGUUGUCCUUGUAACGGGGAUCCAGCAGGGUGGCCACCCAGUAAUCAGCACAAGUUAGAAUGUGGGCAACUUGUCAGUUGUUGCGCAGGCACUUUGGUGACUCUAGAUAACCUCAUGCCAAUCGCACAUCCCCGUGACAGCAACUACGCAUUUGGAUGUCUGUCCUAUCAACUUUCUAUGGUACUUUCUACGCCUACCAUGGUGACCACGGGUAACGGUGAAUCAGGGUUCGAUUCCA
Molecule: non-coding RNA, 288 nt
Organism: Pelobates cultripes (western spadefoot toad)
Lineage: Eukaryota; Metazoa; Chordata; Amphibia; Anura; Pelobatidae
Source: the annotation of a GenBank genome assembly